RNAcentral lists this ribosomal RNA (547 nucleotides) under uncultured Actinomycetes bacterium. RNAcentral's name for it is "bacterial SSU rRNA". It matches the Rfam family "Bacterial small subunit ribosomal RNA", at positions 875 to 1425 of the family's 1533-position model. The record is from RNAcentral. Lineage: Bacteria; Bacillati; Actinomycetota; Actinomycetes.
GGGGAGUACGAUCGCAAGAUUAAAACUCAAAGGAAUUGACGGGGCCCCGCACAAGCAGCGGAGCAUGCGGCUUAAUUCGACGCAACGCGAAGAACCUUACCAAGGCUUGACAUAUACAGGAAUAUGGCAGAAAUGUCAUAGCCGCAAGGUCUGUAUACAGGUGGUGCAUGGUUGUCGUCAGCUCGUGUCGUGAGAUGUUGGGUUAAGUCCCGCAACGAGCGCAACCCUCGUUCUGUGUUGCCAGCAUUUAGUUGGGGACUCACAGGAGACUGCCGGGGUUAACUCGGAGGAAGGUGGGGAUGACGUCAAAUCAUCAUGCCCCUUAUGUCUUGGGCUGCACGCAUGCUACAAUGGCUGGUACAAACGGCUGCGAUACCGCAAGGUGGAGCGAAUCCGAUAAAGCCAGUCUCAGUUCGGAUUGGGGUCUGCAACUCGACCCCAUGAAGUCGGAGUUGCUAGUAAUCGUAGAUCAGCAACGCUACGGUGAAUACGUUCCCGGGGCUUGUACACACCGCCCGUCACGUCACGAAAGUCGGUAACACCCGAA